RNAcentral lists this ribosomal RNA (827 nucleotides) under uncultured Ascomycota. RNAcentral's name for it is "eukaryotic LSU rRNA". It matches the Rfam family "Eukaryotic large subunit ribosomal RNA", at positions 1 to 811 of the family's 3401-position model. Lineage: Eukaryota; Fungi; Ascomycota. The record is from RNAcentral.
AAUCUGACCUCAAAUCAGGUAGGACUACCCGCUGAACUUAAGCAUAUCAAUAAGCGGAGGAAAAGAAACUAACAAGGAUUCCCCUAGUAACUGCGAGUGAAGCGGGAAAAGCUCAAAUUUGAAAUCUGGCGGCUCUGCCGUCCGAGUUGUAUUCUGGAGAAGCGUUUUCCGCGCCGGACCGUGUACAAGUGCCUUGGAACAGGACGUCAUAGAGGGUGAGAAUCCCGUCUUUGACACGGACCCCCGGUGCUCUGUGAUGCGCUCUCGAAGAGUCGAGUUGUUUGGGAAUGCAGCUCAAAAUGGGUGGUAAAUUCCAUCUAAAGCUAAAUAUUGGCGAGAGACCGAUAGCGAACAAGUACCGUGAGGGAAAGAUGAAAAGAACUUUGGAAAGAGAGUUAAACAGUACGUGAAAUUGUUGAAAGGGAAACGCUUGAAGUCAGUCGCGUUGGCCGGGGAUCAACCUUGCUUUAGCUUGGUGUACUUCCUGGUUGACGGGUCAGCAUCAAUUUUGACCAGUGGAUAAAGGUCAGGGGAAUGUGGCAUCUUCGGAUGUGUUAUAGCCCUUGGUCGCAUACAUUGGUUGGGAUUGAGGAACUCAGCACGCCGCAAGGCCGGGUUUUUAACCACGCACGUGCUUAGGAUGCUGGCAUAAUGGCUUUAAUCGACCCGUCUUGAAACACGGACCAAGGAGUCUAACAUGCCUGCGAGUGUUUGGGUGGAAAACCCGGACGCGCAAUGAAAGUGAAAGUUGAGAUCCCUGUCGCGGGGAGCAUCGACGCCCGGACCAGACCUUUUUGUGACGGUCCCGCGGUAGAGCAUGUAUGUUG